RNAcentral lists this small nuclear RNA (310 nucleotides) under Oryctolagus cuniculus (rabbit). RNAcentral describes it as "7SK RNA". It matches the Rfam family "7SK RNA". From Rfam's summary of the family: 7SK was discovered as an abundant small nuclear RNA in the mid-70s but a possible function has only recently been suggested. Two independent studies have found that 7SK RNA binds the CDK9/cyclin T complex (known as elongation factor P-TEFb). Lineage: Eukaryota; Metazoa; Chordata; Mammalia; Lagomorpha; Leporidae. The record is from Rfam by way of RNAcentral.
GGAUGUGAGGGCAAUCUGGCUGUGAUAUCUGUCACCCCAUUGAUCGCCAGGGUUGAUUCGGCUGAUCUGGCUGGCUAGGCGGGUGUCCCCUUCCUCCCUCACCACUUCAUGUGCAUCCCUCCCGAAGCUGCAGGCUCGGUGGAAAAGGACAACCUUCCCCAUUAGAAGAGGACCAGUCUUCGGUCAAGGGUAUACGAGUAGCUGCGCUCCCCUGCUAGAACCUCCAAACAAGCUCUCGAGGUCCAAAUUAGAGAAUUAUAAUAUAUAAAUUUUAAAAAAUAAUAAUAACAUAUAAAUUUAAAAAAUAUAU